CACAAUCUCGCCUUAAUCUCUGCCAUCAUUCUUGCCUUGUUCCAACUUCCUUGAUUGAAAAUACAAUUGUUUCGAGUCUUCCAAAUGCUCCAAAUCACACACAACCAGACAGCAAGGAAGAAAUCCACAUCUUUAUUGCUCCCCAAAUUCACAAAAGCAUUGAAAUGGGCUUUGGUUUGAAAAUGAAGAACAGCUUGCUUACCUGUCCAACUCAAGAUUUCUUUCCAGAUUUCAUCAGUUUUUUGGCAAAGAAAGAAGAGAUGCUCAAUGGAUUCUUCUUUCAGCUGACAAAAGGCACACAAAUCAGUCGCCGAGUGCAUCGCAGCUUGUCUUCUCCGAAGAUUGUCCACCGUUGCGAUUCUUCCUUUAAGGACCUUCC
Molecule: long non-coding RNA, 379 nt
Filed under: Salvia miltiorrhiza (redroot sage)
Lineage: Eukaryota; Viridiplantae; Streptophyta; Magnoliopsida; Lamiales; Lamiaceae
Description: long non-coding RNA (SMIL_LNC003869)
Source: RNAcentral